GACGAACCGAGCGAACGUUGUUCGGAAUCACUGGGCUUAAAGGGCGCGUAGGCGGGUGCUCAAGUCUGUGGUGAAAUCCUCCAGCUUAACUGGAGAACUGCCAUGGAUACUGGGUGUCUCGAGGAAGAUAGGGGUAUGCGGAACGAUUGGUGGAGCGGUGAAAUGCGUUGAUAUCAAUCGGAACUCCGGUGGCGAAGGCGGCAUACUGGAUCUUAUCUGACGCUGAGGCGCGAAAGCUAGGGGAGCAAACGGG
This 253-nucleotide ribosomal RNA is filed under the name uncultured bacterium. RNAcentral's name for it is "partial 16S ribosomal RNA". It matches the Rfam family "Bacterial small subunit ribosomal RNA", at positions 524 to 776 of the family's 1533-position model. The record is from RNAcentral.